This 301-nucleotide ribosomal RNA is filed under the name uncultured bacterium. RNAcentral's name for it is "partial 16S ribosomal RNA". It matches the Rfam family "Bacterial small subunit ribosomal RNA", at positions 509 to 807 of the family's 1533-position model. The record is from RNAcentral.
CAGUCGCCGCGGUAAUACGAAGGGGGCUAGCGUUGUUCGGAAUUACUGGGCGUAAAGGGCGCGUAGGCGGCCAUUCAAGUUAGAUGUGAAAGCCCUGGGCUCAACCUAGGAAUUGCAUUUGAUACUGUUUGGCUUGAGUUCGGGAGAGGUGAGUGGAAUUCCCAGCGUAGAGGUGAAAUUCGUAGAUAUUGGGAAGAACACCAGUGGCGAAGGCGGCUCACUGGACCGACACUGACGCUGAGGCGCGAAAGCGUGGGGAGCAAACAGGAUUAGAUACCCCAGUAGUCCCUGUCUCUUAUAC